Molecule: ribosomal RNA, 1197 nt
Filed under: uncultured fungus
Lineage: Eukaryota; Fungi
Description: eukaryotic LSU rRNA
Rfam family: Eukaryotic large subunit ribosomal RNA (bases 567-1197)
Source: RNAcentral
CGUAACAAGGUUUCCGUAGGUGAACCUGCGGAAGGAUCAUUAAUGAAUUGUUAGGGCGCUCUUUUUAGAGGUCCGACCCCUUCAUAUCCUUCACCCUGUGCACACACACAUUUUUACACCCAUUUUCAAACACCUGAGUCAUCAGAAUGUAAACAGUCUCUUAGUUGAGCAUAAAACAAAUUAAAACUUUCGGCAACGGAUCUCUUGGCUCCCGCAUCGAUGAAGAACGCAGCGAAAUGCGAUACGUAAUGUGAAUUGCAGAAUUCAGUGAAUCAUCGAAUCUUUGAACGCACCUUGCACUCUUUGGUAUUCCGAAGAGUAUGUCUGUUUGAGUGUCAUGAAACUCUCAACCCCCCUGUUUUGUAACGAGAUAGGCGUGGGCUUGGUCUAUGGCUGUCUGCCGGCUUGUAACGAGUCGGCUCGGCUGAAAUACACGAGCAACGCAAUAGUCUGGAUUUAGACGGCUUGACUCGGCGUGAUAAUUAUCACUCGCUGAGGACGUCUUGAUAUCCACAAUAGUUCGGUGCUUCUAGCUCGUUUGUGAAAUACCAAACAUCUUUAGCUUUAGACCUCAAAUCAGGCAGGACUACCCGCUGAACUUAAGCAUAUCAAUAAGCGGAGGAAAAGAAACUAACAAGGAUUCCCCUAGUAACGGCGAGUGAAGUGGGAAGAGCUCAACUUUAAAAUCUGGCAGCUUCGCUGUCCGAGUUGUAGUCUCGAGUAGUGUUUUCCGCGCUGGAACGUGUAUGAGUCUGUUGGAAUACAGCGUCAUAGAGGGUGAGAACCCCGUUCAUGACACGCCUACCAGUGCUAUGUGAUACACUUUCGAUGAGUCGAGUUGUUUGGGAAUGCAGCUCAAAAUGGGUGGUAAAUUCCAUCUAAAGCUAAAUAUUGGCGGGAGACCGAUAGCAAACAAGUACCGUGAGGGAAAGAUGAAAAGCACUUUGGAAAGAGAGUUAAAAGUACGUGAAAUUGUCGAAAGGGAAACGCUUGAAGUCAGGCGUGCGCAGCUUUAUGCUAAUGCAGGCCAGCAUCAGUUUUGCGAGUCGGAUAAAGGUUUGGGGAAGGUAGCAGCUCCGGCUGUGUUAUAGCCUCUUGCUGAAUACGAAUUGCGAGACUGAGGAACGCAGCGCGCCGAAAGGCAUAGGGUCCGCCCUAUACGCGCUUAGGAUGCUGGUGAAAUGGCUUUAAACGACC